Molecule: long non-coding RNA, 3566 nt
Organism: Dreissena polymorpha
Lineage: Eukaryota; Metazoa; Mollusca; Bivalvia; Myida; Dreissenidae
Exons: 3
Source: RefSeq, a predicted model, not a curated record
UAGACGUAUAAGUCCAUUUCGACAAUCGCGAUUAUUUUUAAGUUUUAAGGCGCAAAGAAAGGAUUUAUACCUUGUAACCACCAGAUAUAUUCUAAUUGGCAUAGAUAAAAUAUGUUUCUUAUUUAUACUUAAAUUUACUAUGCCAAAUAAGGUGCGUGGCUUUAAGAUAAAUUUUAAACGAAAACUAUAGCUCUAUUUUAAUUAAGCGCCGAGCGAAAGUCACCUGCUCUUCUCUUGACUUCAAAACAAUGUUUGGAUAGUGUUAUCUGAAAUCGACAUGUUGUAGGCAACCAAAUAGAAGCUUCCUCUUUCGAUUUAGCAGCACGCAGUAUGCAGGACAUUCAAACGUGAACAAGAAGAUGUUUCUUUUAAUUUAAAAACGGCAAAGAAGAAAAGAAGAAUGUCCAACCUCAAGGAACAUUUUCUUCUUGUGGCUGCCAUUGACUUUGGAACAUCUUAUUCGGGGUAUGGCUAUUCAACAAAGGAAGAUUUUGAGUUAAACCCUCUGAAGAUAUAUAGCAACACAUGGAUAGAAGGAAAUUUAAUGUCUUCGAAAACAUCAACAUGUGUGUUGUUUGACAAAGACAAAAACUUUCAAAAGUUUGGAUUUGAUGCUGAAGACCAAUAUGGCCUAUUGGCUGCUACGGACGAGCAUACAGAAUAUUAUUUCUUUAGGAAUUUCAAAAUGGAACUUUUUAAUCAAAUGAGUCACAGUUGGGAGUAUUGAGACAGGACCUUACCAAAUCCCUUAAGUCAGCUUUUGGUGAUGGAACAAACCAGAAUUUGAGAAUACAGUGCGUGUCUUUUAUUUUAUUAUGUGUAUGUUAACUUAAAAUGUUUAAGCUUUGUUUUUUACCGGCGUCCACUGCAACCUUACAGCUGUACUGUAAAUUUCUUAGCAGAUCAUUUAAGUCAAUUGAUAGUACAAAGAUUUAUGUCAGUGGAUAGAAAACAAUGCAUUUGUAUGCAGGUUAUAAUAUAGAUCACAUUAAUGGUUAUUUACUUAAUUUAUCAGUUAGGGGUUUAUCUAGAUUAAAUCCUUGGACCGUGAAACGUGUUGAACCUAUGACGCUAAAGGUUUUAUGACAUAUAUUUGUCAUUUUAGAUUUUUCCAACCCGGAAAAUAUUGUUUAUUGGUGUUGAUAUCUAUUCGCAUUUUUCUCAUGUGCCAGAAAGUAUAAUCUAGUUCCAACUUCAUCAUCUGAUAUUGAAUCGGGGAAAUAUUGAAGCACAGAGAGUAUUCAGUGUCAUGAAAAUUACAUUUUAGUACAUUUAGCACUGGUCAAAGGCUAUUCAGUUUGGUGAAAGGGAGAUUAUUACUCAUUUACGGAGAUUAGAAGAUAAAAGGUUAUGUCCCGUGUCAGCGUAUGAGCCCUUAUUGGCUUUAAAGUUACACCAUUACAGACAUGUAUUUUUCACUUUACCUAACGGCUCGGUCAUUUCAUAAUAUUUGUUUCAAAAAAAAUUAAGAGAAUGUAUUACUGAAAUAGGUUUAGAUGCCGGUAAGUUUUCAACACACUCUUUUAGACGGAGUUUUACAACAUUAGCACAUAGAAUGGAUAUUCCUCAUUCACUUGUUUUUAAUGUUAUUACAAGGGUGGUAUUUAAUAUCAUAUCGGAUUCCAUCGCCAAGGAUGUUGGUGGAAUAUGGCACGCAAAUAUCAUUCCAUUCCCGGGUAUCAACAUAUCUCGUUUAUCAGCCAGAAUAGAGGAGUCACCUUCACUUGUGAGUAAGCCGUUCACACUCAUUCAUGUUGGUACGAACGAUAUAACCACGAGAAACCAGAGUGAAUCAUACUCAGUUGAUGAAAUCAUUAGUUUGUACAGCAACUUGAUAACUUUAAUCAGACGUAUUUAUCCUAACACACAUAUUGUAUUUUCUUCCAUUUUACCACGUCCUUGUGACUAUAGGAUUACUAAAGAUAAAGUUAAACAGGUUAAUGCCCUCUUGGAAAACAAAUGUAAAGAGAGACAAUGUCAGUUCUUACAUAGUUACAGGUCUUUUUUCAAAUUCGGAAGACCUGAUCGUUCAGUUUUCGCGGUCCGAGAUGGAGGAUUACAUAUCAAUUUAGAGGGUACUCGUUUGUUAAGAAAUUUUUUAAUUAGGGCUGUCUCACUUUUGUAAAAAGGUAGAAAUUAAUAUGUGAAAUUGCCAACACGUAGCACAAAAAGUUAUCAUUCUUAUACUACUUAUUUUAUGUUAGGAUUGAGUUACAAUAGGAUUUAUUUACAAAGUGCGAGUGGUUUAUAUAGUGAUAUUGCUAUUUGGAUGCAUUACAUCACUUUUAUUUAUAAUAACUGCGUUAUUAUAAAAGUCUGUUUAAAGGUUUGGAUUUCGGUGGACGUAUUGAUGCCAAAUUUUAAGGUUGUUUGUUCCCUAGCGUCUUGAAGGGAGUAAAGGUUAUUGCUUCAGAUCUUCGCACUUGUGAUUACAGCAUCAUUAAGCCAUUCUGGUGAUUUCAUCCUUGAGAAGAAGGCAUCAUUACUAUUUCAAAGGUUAAAUACUUGUGGUGAUGUUAUAUACUGACGACACUCUGGUCUUUUUAAGUCCUUUGACUUUUGGUAUCACUACGUUUAUUGAUGUUCAACUCUCAAUUGUUAUGUGGAAUACUUUGCAUUGUGACAUACAUGAUUUAAUAUAUAUUGCAGUUUUCAAGUGAUGUACAACAGUUUUGUAUGUGAUAAUUUAUUUAUAAAUGUGUUUUGUUCGCAUUGUACGGUCAUUUAAUUAGCUUGCAUGUACUUUGUGUUUUAUUUUGCUUUUGUUUUGUUUGGAGGUUACUGGCGGAAUUGAGUUAUUCAAGCUAUUGGGCUUAAUUAUUAAUUUGAUCAAAUUGAUUCCAUGUGAAAUUAUGGUCAUUUGCAUGGACUGUCUUGUAUAUUUGUGAUUGCAAGUUCUAUUGACCUUUGAUUAUAAUGAUCGUGUCAGACAUUCAGACCUAAUACAUAUUCUCUUUUAUGUAGUUUAUGUUCAUGGUUUUAUUUGAGUCUCGAGGAUAUGAGAUAAUUUUAAGCAUUUUCUCUAAAAAAUAUAUUGAUUAUUGAUUACAGCCGCGAGUUAGUCCCAUCAUGCUUGACCACUCAUGUAUUAAUGUAUUCAUACGCUAGUUUAUAAACAGCUGAUUCGCGCGUUUUUGGUCUUAGUAUUGUUUUACACGAUCGAUCUAUUAUUGAUCAGAAAAUUUUGCCACACCCACCCACCCCUUUUUGAUGUGUGUUUGUAUAUUUCUGCUUUAUAUGUUUUAUAUGUUAAUUAGUAGGUAUAGUUUGCUAAAUGUUUUGUUUAUUAUGUAUAUUGGUAUGUGUAUAGUUGUACAUGCAUAAUUGGUGUGGAUAAUGAUAGCCGUUAUUGUUACCUCACGUCCUGUUUUAGGUUGUGUAAGCAGGAGUUGAUCGGCGGAAUUGAGUUAUUUAAGCUACUGUGCUUAAUUAUUUAUUUGAUUCCAUUUGAAAUUAUGGUCAUUUGUAUGGACAGUCUUGUAUAUUUGUGAUUGCAAGUUCUAUUGACCUUUGAUUAUAAUUAUAUUGUCACACAUUCGGACCGAAUAAAUAAUCUCUUUAAUGUA